This 75-nucleotide transfer RNA is filed under the name Candidatus Uhrbacteria bacterium. RNAcentral describes it as "tRNA-Gly". It matches the Rfam family "tRNA". Rfam says of the family: Transfer RNA (tRNA) molecules are approximately 80 nucleotides in length. Their secondary structure includes four short double-helical elements and three loops (D, anti-codon, and T loops). Further hydrogen bonds mediate the characteristic L-shaped molecular structure. tRNAs have two regions of fundamental functional importance: the anti-codon, which is responsible for specific mRNA codon recognition, and the 3' end, to which the tRNAs corresponding amino acid is attached (by aminoacyl-tRNA synthetases). tRNAs cope with the degeneracy of the genetic code in two manners: having more than one tRNA (with a specific anti-codon) for a particular amino acid; and 'wobble' base-pairing, i.e. permitting non-standard base-pairing at the 3rd anti-codon position. The record is from RNAcentral. Lineage: Bacteria; Candidatus Uhriibacteriota.
UGCGGCAGUAGUUCAGUGGUAGAACGUCUCCUUGCCAAGGAGAAGGNNCUUCGAGUUGAUCGAACCGCCCAUCCA